RNAcentral lists this long non-coding RNA (2165 nucleotides) under Homo sapiens (human). RNAcentral describes it as "non-protein coding lnc-KLF3-2:1". The record is from RNAcentral. Lineage: Eukaryota; Metazoa; Chordata; Mammalia; Primates; Hominidae.
AGGCAGAAGUGACGUGCCUUGUGUCAGAUGAGACUUUGGACUUGGACUUUUGAGUUAAUGCUGGAAUGAGUUAAGACUUUGGGGGACCAUUGGGAAGGCAUGAUUGUGUUUUAAAAUGUGAGAAGGACAUGAGAUUUGGGAAGGGGCAGUGGUAGAACGAUUUGGUUUGGCUUUGUGUCCCCACCCAAAUCUCACGUUGAGUUGUAAUCCCUAGUGUUGGAGGUGGGGCGUGGUGGGAAGUGAUUGGAUCAUGGGGUGAUUUCUAGUGGUUUAGCAUCAUUCCCCUAGUGCUGUCUUAUGAUAGAAUUCUCACAAGAUCUGGUUGCUUAAAAGUGUAUGACACUUUCCCCUUCUCUCUCUCUUUCUCUCUUUCUCUCUCUCCUGCCACCAUGUGAAGACAUGCUUGCUUCCCCUUUGUCCUUCUGCCAUGAUUGUGAGUUUCCUGAGGCCUCCCCAACCAUGCAUCCUGCACAGCUUGUGGAACUAGACUCAACUGUGUGGGUUAAGACUUGGCCAUGGCACACCAAGGAUACCCCGUCUCUGCUCUGCAAUGUCUGAGGAUUCAGCUGGAAGACUUGAGAACUGGAGGAUGGGAUCAACUGAAGGCUCAUUAAUUCACUCAUCUAUCCUGGUUCCAGAAGCAGAUGGGCAGACAAGGAGACAAGCAGAGGAAUGUCAAAAUGCUGCGGCAGAAAGAGAGAAGAGGAGGAAUGUCUCAACACUAAGAGUUUAGCCCGGGGCGGUUCAGCUGCCGGAAGGCCAAACUCCAGGAGAAGCCCAUCUUCCUACUCCGUCCUCCCUUCAGGUUCUCCAUCCAUCCUGCUGAGAGCCACCUCCGCCAUUCAGUAAGACCCCCACAUUUAUCCUUCAAGUGCAUGUGUGACCCAGUUCUUCCAGGAUGCUGGACAAGAGCUUGGGAUACAUAAAGCUGUCACACUGGCCCUCUGCCCUUGCUCGCUAACACUCAAGCCAUUCGCAGACGGCUAAAAGAGCACAUUGUAACACGUGCCCACUUGGACUCCUGCACCUGCCCAUCUGCAUGCUUUCCAUCCUGUAAGGGGUUUGAGUGGUGUCAGCAAUCUAACAGACAAGCCACACCCUUGUUUCACGUCCUGUGAGAGGGGUCAGGGAACUCUUCUGUUUCAUCAUUACCCAACUUUGGAACUCAAGAAAGGACUCACAGGGAAAUUCUUGCAGAAUCUCGUGGAAAAUCUCACAUGUAUUUGUGAAAAUACAAUGUGGAUCUGUGAGAUCCCACUUCAACACAGGCCACGGGGCCACCUUCUGCACCCACAUGGGUUGUUUUAAGUCUUCCUUAGUCUCCUUGAGAAUAACAUGAUGCUAUGAUGUUGGCAGGAAUCUUCCACACCUUCCAAAACAUGACAAUAUGGGUCAAGCCCGUGCAGAGACUGUGGCUCCUGCUUUGGGAGUCACCUGGAAUUGUUGAGAGAUUAGCAAAUCCCAGAACCAGGUUUGUUAGAAUUAACUGCUCAACCAGAUUGUAUUGAAAAUGGUCUGAAGUCAAAGACGACAGACGCAAACGGGCUAAAUUGCUCAGUUAAUUCUUCCAUUUCUCUUCCUCCUAGUUGUUCUAGCUUCAGGGAGGACUCAGGAGAGUACUGUUUGAAAACCACUGAUCUAGUUUACACUUUCAUUUUACAGAGAGGAAACUGAGAGCCACAGAGAUUCAAGUGACUCAUCCAAGAUGACCCAAACCCUGGGGUUUGUUAUUGUUUUUCACACUAUGCAAAGCACUAAAAAACAUUCGUUUGAAACAGGUGAACAAAAGUCUAAUUUGUAGUGAGGUCUAGGGGAAUGACUGUCCAGUCAAUUCCUCAAUUCAUGAAGGAGCAUUUGGGACGCCACAGAGGAACAUACACAGGUAUCCCUCCUCCUACCCGACACCAUUCAGGAAGAGCGGUUACCCCUCCAAUGCACUGAAGCAGAUUCAUUUCCCUCAGGACUGUGGGAGGCGACUGAGGCUGAGUGAAUGAUACAGCCUUUUAAUUUGUUUUUAAUUGUCGUGUCCUGGUAACCCUUCCAAAGACCCUUCACGGAGAGUAGUUUUAUUUUUCCACUUAUUAACCGCAUUCACUAGACUGGAAAAAGAAUUCCCUAUCUCCCAAGAACUCUCCCUUUCAUUCUUGUAAUUCCUUUUUUUUUUU